This 252-nucleotide ribosomal RNA is filed under the name uncultured bacterium. Its description in RNAcentral is "partial 16S ribosomal RNA". It matches the Rfam family "Bacterial small subunit ribosomal RNA", at positions 524 to 776 of the family's 1533-position model. The record is from RNAcentral.
UACGUAGGGUGCAAGCGUUAUCCGGAAUUAUUGGCGUAAAGAGCUCGUAGGCGGUUUGUCGCGUCUGCUGUGAAAACUGGAGGCUCAACCUCCAGCCUGCAGUGGGUACGGGCAAACUAGAGUGCGGUAGGGGAGAUUGGAAUUCCUGGUGUAGCGGUGGAAUGCGCAGAUAUCAGGAGGAACACCGAUGGCGAAGGCAGAUCUCUGGGCCGUAACUGACGCUGAGGAGCGAAAGCAUGGGGAGCGAACAGG